AAACUGCUAGAGCUGUAAGUCAAGCUAUGCAUGCAUACUUAAGCAUAGUGAGAAUUUGACAAUAACAUGGUGAUUCUAUUUGAGAUCAUAGGGCAUACAGGUUCUAUAAGAUAAAUUAUGGAAAGUGUGAGUCCAAGAGACCAGGGCAACCAUUGGAGGUUAUACAUAACUGGCCGUGCAUGAAGCAACCACCGUU
Long non-coding RNA from Sorghum bicolor (sorghum), 196 nucleotides. RefSeq lists it as uncharacterized. The transcript is spliced from 3 exons. The record is from RefSeq and is a predicted model, not a curated record. NCBI's taxonomy places the organism in Eukaryota, Viridiplantae, Streptophyta, Magnoliopsida, Poales, Poaceae.